Long non-coding RNA from Phyllostomus hastatus (greater spear-nosed bat), 1616 nucleotides. RefSeq lists it as uncharacterized. Lineage: Eukaryota; Metazoa; Chordata; Mammalia; Chiroptera; Phyllostomidae. The record is from RefSeq and is a predicted model, not a curated record. The transcript is spliced from 4 exons.
CUUAGGGAGUAGGCUUUGUUUGUUUUCACUGUGCCCCAGUUUGACCUUACUAUUCCCUGACCCUGGAAUGCUGGCGUGUGCAGAGGUGCUGUGGGCCAGGCCUCCUUCGCGGCUGGGAGGAGAGGAUCCAGGCCCUGGAUGCGAGGAAGCCGGGUCAGGAGUCAAUGAGUCGCUCCCUCCCUGAUUCCCUCCCUUUCUCGAACUGUCUUAAGAGAUAGCCAGCGUGGGUGCAGGGGCCUGCAGGGCUGAGGCCCGCUGAAGGCGAGCAGCCUGUCCCGUGUUCACGGCUACACAGAGACGUGUGGACCCCAAGCUCAGAGCCUGCGCUGCCUGUGCGCAGGGCCCAGGGGGCACUCGGCCCGCCCGCACAGGUCUUUUCUCAGAGACCCAAGCUGGUAGAAUCUGGGUACCCACACACCCUGAGGACUAGCAUUUCCCACACUGAUGAAUGCCCACUCCAAAGAGCCACCACCUGAGAGUGGCCCCUGUCCCAGUUGCUGCCCUGCCCAUCCUUGUCUCCCCAGGUUCGAGGCCUCAUACACAGGGACUCAAGAACACACCUCUGUCAGUUUAGCCAGAGAAGUAUGUCUCAAGUGCAUACGUGCAAAAUCAUUUUACUUGCCUGCAUGCAAUUGUUCAUCAUCCAUCCAUUACCUAGAGGACGAAGUCUGAGUUUGUGCGUGUGUAAAUCUCUCCACUAGCUCCACCUAGCCUGUCUGCUACCAUUUCCCUGGUGUCCAGCCAGAACUGGUGACAGUCUCCCAAGCAGGCAGAUCCUGCUGCACUUCUGGUCAAGAUGGAGCAGUGUACGUGGUGCAGCCACUGUAGAAAACAGUGUGGACAUUCCUUGAAACAUUAAAAAUAGAACUACUGUAUGAUUCAGUAAUUCCACUUCUGGGUAUUUUAAGGGAACAAAAUCGCUAUCUCGAAAAAAUAGCUGCACCCGCAUGUUCAUUGCAACAUUAUUCACAAUAGCCAAGAUGUGGAAGUAACCUAAGUGUCCAUCAAUGGACAAAUUGAUAUAAAAGUUGUGCUGUAUAUAUUCAAUGGAAUAUUACUCAGCUAUAAAAAGGGGGAAAUGCUGCCAUUUGUGACAACAUGGAUGACCCCUGAGGACAUUAUGCUCAGUGAAAUAAGCCAGACAGAAAAACAAAUACUGUAUGAUCUCAUUUAUAUGUGGAAUCUAGAAAAGCUGAACUCAUAGAUUCGGAGAAUAGAUUAGUAGUUGCCAGAGGCGGGAAGCAAUGAGUAAAGGGGCUCAAAAGGUACAAAUUUCCAGUUAAAAGAUAAAUAAGUCCUGGAAAUGUAACAUACUUCCUGGUGACUGUAGUUAACAACACUGUAUUGUAUAUUUGAAAGUUGCUAAGAGAGUAAAUCUCAAAAAUUCUCAUCAAAAGGAAAAAAAUUGUAACUAUGCAUGAUGACGGAUGUCAACUAAACUUAUUGUAGUGAUUAUUUUGCAAUAUAUACAACUAUCAAAUCAUUGCGUUGUAUACCUGAAACUAAUAUAAUGUUAUAUGUCAAUUAUAUCUCAAUUAAAAAAAAAAAGAGUGUUGAGUUCUCUAUUCCAACCACAAAGCCAUGAUGAAUAAGAAACAUUUUAAAAGAUAACCCAA